Long non-coding RNA from Grus americana (Whooping crane), 2593 nucleotides. RefSeq lists it as uncharacterized. The transcript is spliced from 3 exons. The record is from RefSeq and is a predicted model, not a curated record. NCBI's taxonomy places the organism in Eukaryota, Metazoa, Chordata, Aves, Gruiformes, Gruidae.
GGAGGAGCGACGUGGAGCAGCCCUCAGGGUCCUUCCCCUCCUCUCCCCGCCCGUUCUCCCUCAGCGGAGAGACGUGAAGCGGCGACCGGAGCUGCAGGUGCCCUUCAGGAACCGUAACUUCCCGGAGAAGACAGGGAGGAGAGCCGGGGACGAAAGCGGCCUAGCGCCAGGAUAACCCGGCCUGCGAGUGACAGAGGAACAGGAAGCCUUCCAGAAGUCUGCUGGAGUAAUUGAUAACCAUGGUGUUAACAGGAGUACUCAAAGAAAACAAAGCCGUUGCAGAGAAGUUCAUAGACUAUUUGAGUCGGUGUUCAGCAGUGAAUAUCCUGGAAGUGGGAGGAAUUUUGAAGAGAGAAUGGAUGAAACUGAUAAAAUGAACAGUAAGAAACCACCGGGACCAGAUGGAAAUUGCUAACAGGUCACCCUGAAGAGGGGUUACUGCAUGAAUGUGCAUGAAUGAACCUAGUGUCAAAGCUUGAAAACACCCUGCUUGCUAACGGACUCCUUAGCAGGUAAAGCAGAAUGGCUGCGUGCAGAUAUCCCCUACCAGACUUCCUGUGACAGGAACGUUUCAGAAGGAAAAUUAAAUGCCUCCCUCCAAAGGCUUACGGGAAUUCUGCACUGCCACGGCCUUUUCUCAUGGAGAAAGAACUGUUAAUAACGUACUGUUAUCCCUCUUGUACUGCUGUAGUUCUACUGUUCAGCUGAUGCAAUGUCAUUUUUGCUUAUGAACAGCAGUCUAAAAUAUCACCUCUGCUAUACUGCUUAAAGAUCUUAUUUCUUAAAAUAGGUCCAUUUCAUUUUUAGACACUUUUUGUAAAUCAGGAGUGCUGUGACAAUUCAGAUAUCCUUUAGAGCCUUAUGAUUUCCUGUGGAAACAUCAAAAAUUUCAGCUGUAGUAGGUUUCGUUUUGUGCUUGAUUUCUUCAGGGCUGCACCCUGCUAUUUGCACAGAACAAAGCAAUAGUUUUCUUCCAUAGUGGCUGCAAUGAAUUUCUCAGAACUUUUAAUUCAUUUAAUCAAGAGCCAAGGGCUGGGGGAAAUGUAACUGCUGCAACCCCUGUAGUUAUUAUGGUCGGAAAUAUAAUUCUAACUGGUCGCAGAAAGAGACUCAGUUGAAACAGUGGAUCAAAACAUCGUGUCAAGUGUUAAGGCCUCUUGGUUUUAAAAUGACAGCCCUUCUGUCUUUGUCUUUUCUUCUUUUUGAAAGGGCUCCACCUCUCAGGAUUCUGUAUUUUGAGAUAUUAACAUCUGAGCAAAUAGGAACAGAUAUGAUUGCUCUCCCGGAAAUGUAGCUUUUUAAGUAAACAAACUUUGGAGUUGUUACUGACACACAAAUACUGAACGUAAGCCUGCCUCUCUACUUUCAGACACAUGCCGACCAAGGGAAGAAGACACAUCUGCGUGGCAGUUCACGUGCAGGCAUGGCAGCAGAUAAACCCCCAAAUGUUCCAUGGCCCACCAAGCGGUAGACAUUUGGCUAGAGGACAGUGUGCCCACAUGAGCCUCGCAGUGCCCUAAACUGCCAGGUGGGCUUAGGAAUACAGCGUCCCAUGCGCUCAGAAGCGUGGGAGCUGUCCUUAAGAGAUGCAGUGCCUGCACAGCCCUUAUACAUACACAUCCUUAGAGCUAAGUACAAUUCUCGACACUCUGAAUUAUUGGGGAGAGUCUGUUUUGUGCCAGACGAGAGACGUACGUAACAGUUGUGAAUUUCUGUGCCUCGUUUUCCAACGAGCGAAGCACUCGGUAGAGUUGUGUGCCUGUGCCUGCCCAGCCUGUGCAGCCUGGCUGCAUCGUGUUUCCGUGCUGGGAAGAGGUCUGCCCGAGUAUUACCACCUUCUGUUUCCCGUGGUACAAGAAGGAAAUUGGGGUCCAUGAGCCAAGAGGGAUCAGCAGCACACUUUGACUGAGGCCCUGCUGUAGAUGAUGGGACCAGGUGUCCAGAACUUGGCAAUUUGCUCAUAAUGUUCAAAGCUUCAGCACCCUUCAUCGUCAAACCUGUCUAAUCCUUCCUUGGCUUGAGAGGAUCUCCUCUCCCUUCCCUUCUCCCGUGCACCUCCAACGAGCUCUACUGACAGGCCUGGGAAGUCGGACGUGGUGGCUGAGGGUAGAGUGGGUUUCCAUAUUUGCAUGCUUGCACAAGAAAAAGAAGGUCUUAGAUGGGCUGGGUCUACCUCUGCUGGCACGUGCUUUCCCGCAGAGUUGGGAAAGCGAGGGGAAGGGAUGGGAAGCGCCCCUCGCUUUUCUCUGAAACUCCUGUUUCCGGGUGCAGGGAAGGCAUCCCCCCUUCUGGCUUCGCUCAGCGCUGUCCCGUUCCGUCCCUCCCUGCGAGGAGUCUGACUGUACCCGGGCACCAGCGUUGGACAUGCUGGUGUUCCGCACGCCCAACUGCAGCUGCCUCCCGGCCAUCAGGCAGGGGAAGAAGCAGGUUUAUGGGUUUGCUACCUUUUUUUUGCCUGGCGAGCUUACAUCACCGGCCACGUCUCAGCCCCGUCCGAGUGCCGGGACAGUUAAACGUGCAAUCGGCAAAAGAUGAAGUUAAACGAAACAAAUAAAGCGCAUCAUCUGAAACGCUGCCUGCGGUGCACGAUGCA